This is a non-coding RNA of Arachis ipaensis, 534 nucleotides long. The record is from RefSeq and is a predicted model, not a curated record. Lineage: Eukaryota; Viridiplantae; Streptophyta; Magnoliopsida; Fabales; Fabaceae.
GAAUGCGAUGGAGGAGAAGUCGGCUCUGCCACUGCCGAUCUGCUGCUUUGCGGUGCUUAGCUGAAGCUUCUGCACUGUUGCUGCCGAAGGAGGAGGAAGCCUUGCCAUUGUUCUGGUCGCCAGGAGCAGUCCGGUGGCUACCGGAACCACUGUCGGGGAUGCCGCCGCUUGGCUCAGUCACUUCUCCUUAGUUACGGGCUGAGUUCGAGUUAUGGCAUGUCACGGUUAGAGUUGUUGUUGCUGUUACGAGUAGUUGGGGCUGAGGUUGCCUCCGUCGCCGGAGCUGUGCCGGGGCCGGUUCGAAACCGCAGCUGCUUCGUGUUGUUAUUCCGAGCUGUUUAUGCUGCUGCGAAAAUGUGUGGGGCUGUGCUUUGAAGCUGCCUUCGAUUUUGAGUUGAGGUGAAAAGAACUUAUGAGGCGCUUGGAUUAUGGAAAUGUGUUUUGAGGUAGGGGCGCUUUCCAAAAACUAUAGUUUAUUAUUGGAAUUAUUACAUAUGGGUACUGAUGUGAGAUAUUGUGUAUUUGGUGAUUGUA